Molecule: ribosomal RNA, 436 nt
Filed under: uncultured bacterium
Lineage: Bacteria
Description: partial 16S ribosomal RNA
Rfam family: Bacterial small subunit ribosomal RNA
Source: RNAcentral
ACGGGAGGCAGCAGUGGGGAAUAUUGGGCAAUGGGGGGAACCCUGACCCAGCAACGCCGCGUGGAGGAAGAAGGUCUUCGGAUCGUAAACUCCUGUCCUCAAAGACGAGAAGAAGACGGUAUUUGAGGAGGAAGCCCCGGCUAACUACGUGCCAGCAGCCGCGGUAAUACGUAGGGGGCAAGCGUUGUCCGGAAUGAUUGGGCGUAAAGGGCGCGUAGGCGGCUCUUUAAGUCUGGAGUGAAAGUCCUGCUUUUAAGGUGGGAAUUGCUUUGGAUACUGAAGGGCUUGAGUGCAGGAGAGGUUAGUGGAAUUCCCAGUGUAGCGGUGAAAUGCGUAGAUAUUAGGAGGAACACCAGUGGCGAAGGCGGCUUACUGGACUGUAACUGACGUUGAGGCUCAAAAGCGUGGGGAGCAAACAGGAUUAGAUACCCUGGUA